Corylus avellana is the source of this 227-nucleotide non-coding RNA. The record is from RefSeq and is a predicted model, not a curated record. NCBI's taxonomy places the organism in Eukaryota, Viridiplantae, Streptophyta, Magnoliopsida, Fagales, Betulaceae.
CGUUGAAGAUGAGAGAAGGCUCUAUCAGUGUGCAAAGAAGUAUGAAAAAAUGGUCAAACAGUUUGAUGAGCUGAUAGAGAUGAUGGACACCAGGACCAGACAGCCAAAGCGACGCAGGGGUUCCAGAGGAAGCAGUUCUAGUGCAGCCCCUGCCUCCUCGAGCCAGCCUGACAACAACGAAGUUUUCGUGCAGACGAUAACAAGAUUUCUCCAUGAUCUAAAACUUA